CAGUAGCCGCGGGAAUACGAAGGGGGCUAGCGUUGCUCGGGAUGACUGGGCGUAAAGGGCGCGUAGGCGGUUUGUUUAGUUAGGCGUGAAAUUCCUGGGCUCAACCUGGGGACUGCGUUUAAUACAGGCAGACUAGAGUGUGAAAGAGGGUUGUGGAAUUCCCAGUGUAGAGGUGAAAUUCGUAGAUAUUGGGAAGAACACCGGUGGCGAAGGCGGCAACCUGGUUCAUGACUGACGCUGAGGCGCGAAAGCGUGGGGAGCAAACAGGAUUAGAUACCCGCGUAGUCCCUGUCUCUUAUAC
This 301-nucleotide ribosomal RNA is filed under the name uncultured bacterium. Its description in RNAcentral is "partial 16S ribosomal RNA". It matches the Rfam family "Bacterial small subunit ribosomal RNA", at positions 509 to 807 of the family's 1533-position model. The record is from RNAcentral.